RNAcentral lists this ribosomal RNA (1206 nucleotides) under Leuconostoc carnosum. Its description in RNAcentral is "bacterial SSU rRNA". It matches the Rfam family "Bacterial small subunit ribosomal RNA", at positions 256 to 1454 of the family's 1533-position model. Lineage: Bacteria; Bacillati; Bacillota; Bacilli; Lactobacillales; Lactobacillaceae. The record is from RNAcentral.
GGUAAAGGCCUACCAAGACAAUGAUGCAUAGCCGAGUUGAGAGACUGAUCGGCCACAUUGGGACUGAGACCCGGCCCAAAUUCCUACGGGAGGCUGCAGUAGGGAAUCUUCCACAAUGGGCGAAAGCCUGAUGGAGCAACGCCGCGUGUGUGAUGAAGGCUUUCGGGUCGUAAAGCACUGUUGUAUGGGAAGAAAAGUUAAGGUAGGGAAUGACCUUAGCCUGACGGUACCAUACCAGAAAGGGACGGCUAAAUACGUGCCAGCAGCCGCGGUAAUACGUAUGUCCCGAGCGUUAUCCGGAUUUAUUGGGCGUAAAGCGAGCGCAGACGGUUGGUUAAGUCUGAUGUGAAAGCCCGGAGCUCAACUCCGGAAAGGCAUUGGAAACUGGUUAACUUGAGUGCAGUAGAGGUAAGUGGAACUCCAUGUGUAGCGGUGGAAUGCGUAGAUAUAUGGAAGAACACCAGCGGCGAAGGCGGCUUACUGGACUGUAACUGACGUUGAGGCUCGAAAGUGUGGGUAGCAAACAGGAUUAGAUACCCUGGUAGUCCACACCGUAAACGAUGAACACUAGGUGUUAGGAGGUUUCCGCCUCUUAGUGCCGAAGCUAACGCAUUAAGUGUUCCGCCUGGGGAGUACGACCGCAAGGUUGAAACUCAAAGGAAUUGACGGGGACCCGCACAAGCGGUGGAGCAUGUGGUUUAAUUCGAAGCAACGCGAAGAACCUUACCAGGUCUUGACAUCCUUUGAAGCUUUUAGAAAUAGAAGUGUUCUCUUCGGAGACAAAGUGACAGGUGGUGCAUGGUCGUCGUCAGCUCGUGUCGUGAGAUGUUGGGUUAAGUCCCGCAACGAGCGCAACCCUUAUUGUUAGUUGCCAGCAUUCAGAUGGGCACUCUAGCGAGACUGCCGGUGACAAACCGGAGGAAGGCGGGGACGACGUCAGAUCAUCAUGCCCCUUAUGACCUGGGCUACACACGUGCUACAAUGGCGUAUACAACGAGUUGCCAACCUGCGAAGGUGAGCUAAUCUCUUAAAGUACGUCUCAGUUCGGACUGCAGUCUGCAACUCGACUGCACGAAGUCGGAAUCGCUAGUAAUCGCGGAUCAGCACGCCGCGGUGAAUACGUUCCCGGGUCUUGUACACACCGCCCGUCACACCAUGGAAGUUUGUAAUGCCCAAAGCCGGUGGCCUAACCGUAAGGAGGGAACC